GGUGGGGGGGGACGGGACGACGCUUCAUGUACAAAGCCACCGACGGGUGUUAGAUUUGCCUUCAGCGACCUUACGAUCUUCCCGUAUAAAACAUCAAAGCACUCCUUUGCUUAAAGGUAAAAAUCACGGCACAAUUCAACCCUCUUUUCAAGGUCAAGACCUACCUUUAAUGAAUGAAGCCAGUCUGAAUGGAAAAACACUGGAUAAUAAAUGACUUUGAAAGAUAGGCCAGCCAAUGUCUAAUGUUGGACUAAUGCAGUACCUCCUGAUUAUUUGCUGGUGUUUGGUAUAUGACAAAUAGUCGACCACAGUGGCAAGAGCACUUUGACAACUGGAAGCUUUCAGCGCAUGCUCUCCCAAGGAAUCCUGGGGGUUGAAGUCUUAGCUAUAGAUGGCAUUUCACUCCUGCCUAUCCUGAAAGGAAGAGGGCUCUAAGGGGAAAAAGUACGCAAACACUCUUUCUUUCCAUGGAAAAUUGCUGCAAUCUGAAUCACCAGCUCUAAGAAAAUAAAUAUGUGUCAGAUUGAGCUGAACCCAAGUAACUAAAUAAGAGCUUUUAACAGUUUAAUUUAUUAACUCUGACCAAAUAGCUACCUAUUUGGAAGAGCAAUAGCUACACAAGAAAUAGUACCAGUAUUUCCAAACUUCCAGUAUAAGAAGUUAAUUAUAAGCCCAUACCAGCUAUAAAUUAUACAGCUAUUACAAAGGAGAUUGCAUCAUGUUGCUUAGCUGAAGAAAAUA
This is a long non-coding RNA of Neopsephotus bourkii (Bourke's parrot), 741 nucleotides long. RefSeq lists it as uncharacterized. Lineage: Eukaryota; Metazoa; Chordata; Aves; Psittaciformes; Psittacidae. The record is from RefSeq and is a predicted model, not a curated record. The transcript has 3 exons.